Long non-coding RNA from Danaus plexippus (monarch butterfly), 4082 nucleotides. RefSeq lists it as uncharacterized. The transcript has 2 exons. Lineage: Eukaryota; Metazoa; Arthropoda; Insecta; Lepidoptera; Nymphalidae. The record is from RefSeq and is a predicted model, not a curated record.
UAAAUACGUCCCUAGUUCUUCCGAUAAACACAUCAUGUAUCGGAAAAUCAUUUAAAUACUAGCGAACUCUUAUCUGUUUAAAUUUAUUUCACCAAACCAAAAAAGUCCAUAUUUUUCCUCCUAGCACUUAUAAAUGUAUAUAUAAUAAUUCGCGUUCAAAAAACGCAAUGUUUGUUGUAACGCGUGGUAAAUAAAUAAAACGUUUAAAAUCACUGAAUUGUGAACAAACGAACGAGCGUGACGGAACACACUCACACACAACACGUUUCCCACAUGCAUACAUCGAAAUAACAUACGAAUCGUUGUAGCUACACGAAUGUGACAAGAUUUAUGAGGAAAAAACUGUUAACGUAAAGUAUGCAGUGACGAUGCUAACUUUUAGUAAGCCUAUCGUUAACAUUGUGUAUUUAUUAUGUGGUCACAAAUCGUAUAUUUGGCGUAUAACUGGUUGAUCGACAACCUGAUGAGAGAUCUCAAGAUACUGUUGUCUGUGCACAGAAUAUUCAAUAUUUGUCAAACAAAUUAUAUUUUAUUAUUAAAUGUAUUUAAUUUGUAGCGAGUGUACCAACGACAUCCUGUUCAUUAUAAAGCGUCUCUGAUGUUAUACAUGCUAAAGUCUGUGAGAAUUCAUGUGUUAUGCAAAAAGUACGAUACAGAUUAUGAUGAAUCCUUACAGCGACGUAGUUUACACACCAGUCUAAGACAUAGUCUAUACCGCAUCCCCUCCCUCCGUGGACUUACUCCUGGACCACAUCCCGGCAUUUGUAUCGUAUGUGAAAUCACGUGACAUACACUAUACAGGCCGCUGACAGUCGGGUCACUACAUACAUGUCUCUCUGAUUCUAAUUACGAAGUUCAUGCGGACAAAGUUAGGGGAAAAAUUUAGUAAAAAUUAUAUUUUAUAAGCUUAAAACUCCGAAAGAUCUAAUCUUAUAAUUAUUCCAAUUAAAAAGUUACCUUCUUUCAAGCGCAUUAAUCUUAUUUAAAUUAGUUUGUUGACCUUUAAAGUUUAAUUAAUUUAAAUCAGCACCUCGGCGAGGCUUGUGUACACCGAGUAAGUGUGUUAGAAACGUGUCAGGACACGUACAGAACAAAACGUAUACAUCAAAUACAACUGAAUCAUCGUCACAAAUAAUAUGAGAACGAAAAACUAAACAAACUUGUAGAAAAACAAAAAUAUACGAGUGGCGUGAGGUAAUGUUUGUUGAACUCAUACGGAUAGUUGAAUUUGGACGGCAAAUACACUCGGCCGCGUCAGGAUGGAGUCACGUUUGUUGUGUUUAUAGAAGACACGUGAGCUGUAGAAAAAAAUGCCUGAUGAUGAAGCACCACGAGGGGAGGUAGAUGAUAUACAGAUAUACUAGAAGAUCAGAAGAUAUUUCAAGUAUACAAGUGUGUUGCUCUUUAGAUACUUUCCGCACAAAGCGAAGACAAAAAUGCAAGCCAUUAUAUAUCGAUACAUCUUUUAAUCAAAAUUGAAAUAAAAUAAUAAAGUCAUAAUUUUAUUAAAACAAUAUUCACAGUAACGCAUACUUACUUAUAUUUAUUUCACACAUACAGAUAUUUAAACACAUUUUUAUAGCUCGUUAUACAAACGACGUAAGCGAUAAAUUGUUAGUUAGCGAUACUAUAAAAAUAAAAAAAAAUAUGUCGUUUUGACACAGAUCAGGAUUCAUUGUUUACUGUAACGUAAAUAAAGGAAAAGAAAAGAUGGCGGCUGAGUGAACACGUGUCCAACACGGAUAUCCGAGAACAUUUUUGGGCCAUUACUUUCAUAAGCGGAAUGUAGUUUUUCAGUCACAUUAAUAAGUUUCGUGUUCGUUGUGUAUAAUAUAAUGACUAAAUAACUACAAAUAUCCUGUAACAAUGGCUUCAAACAUACUCGCUUUUACACAGAAGAAAUUAGUUCAAGAAAAACAUUGAUGCUGUAUGCUGUAUAACAAACAGGAUAAAUAAAAUUGUCUUACAAAACCUAUAUAAGUAUAAAUUGUUCGAAUAAAUUAAAUUAUACAAUGUUCCACGAGUAAGACGAAUCCGUAAUAUUCGGAUUUCUCAACACAUAAGUCUAAUCUUCUGAACGCCACCUUGCUUUACUAAAUCGCAAUAAAAAUUCACAAAUAACCGACAUAAGUUUCAAUGAAGCGAGUAUAAAGUACAUAUAUCCUCAUAUAUGUUUGCACAGUACUUUUCGAAGUGUUUGCUCUGCAAAUAUUAUGUUACCUACUGUCCAUACACUCGUGUUAGUAUAUACCUGUUACCUGGAAGAAACUUUGUACUAUACUUACACAUACAAAAAAUGAUUGUUUGUUUAUAAUUAAGAACGAUCAUGACGCAAGUAAGCAUUUAACAAUAACAGUUGACUUUUGACAGACGCAAAAAUGACAUACGAAUAUUAGAAAAAUGGCGCGAAAAUCACAUUGAUUUGUGUUAUAUCUGUAUGUGUAAAGAAUUAUACAUUUAUACAAAUAAAAUAUACAACAUCUAUACAAUACAGUUAGAAAACAUUAACGAAUUAGAUCUAAGUAUUUGGUGUUCUUUUCUUACAGCGGCUUUUAUUUUGCGUUCGCUCGCUGAUGUAACGUGCUAACUGCCAUUUUAAUAGUAACGUUUAAAAAUAAGGUUUAAUAGAAAUAUAUAAAAACACGUUGUAUUUUUCAAAUUCUCGGUCGCCAUUUUGAUUGAGAGGACGCAAAAUAAAAGCGAAAAUAUUAAUUACAACUAUACUACUUCAGAUUCACCUUAGAAUAUAUCAUAUUACUAUUAAUAUUUAAUUAUGUAUAACAUUGUAGACCAAUCUGAAAUUAUUAAAUAUUAAGAAAUAUUAAUCAUUUAUAUGAGUUGAUAUAAUGUUACAUUGAAUUUAUACAAAAUUAUUACAACAGAAAGGUUGCAUACUUUCAUAAAUAAUAAAAACAUUUUUUAUAUAUAUUUUUUUGUAUAGAUAUACCACUACACUAUAAUAAUAUAUAUUACAUACAAAUCAGUUAAACAUAUCUAUUACACUAUUAUACUAUUCGUAUAUAAAUAAGACAUACAUAUUAUAUCAAUUAAUAGUUAGUGUCUUAAUAAGUACGUGCUAUAUAAUUAUUAUAUUUUGUCAACUUUUCUUACGUAAUUUUGCACAAAAUUUAACACUCAAGUUUAGUUACAAUUGUAGUAAAGGAAAACUAAAAAAGUUUUAGUAGAAAGAACAUCCAAAAUACGUAAUAAUUGUUGUCUAUAAUGUUGGGUCAGAGGUAGGCGAAGUGUGUUUUAAAUAUUUUAUCUAUUUCAUUAAAUCUAGUUUUUGUAAAAUCAUUUUCACUACAGCAAUAAAUACAGCAUGUAUAACAGAUGUGGCAUAGAACCGUUCAGCAGCUAAAUAUAAAUAAUGUUAACUAUUUAAAACAAAUAUAACAUCCAUGAAUCGUCGGAAUAAAUUUUCCUAAUCAUUAACGAUCUGUCUAAAUCGCACGAGAGCGUACAAUUCAUCACAAAAUAAUAUAUCGCGUCCUUGGUACAUUCAACGCAAGGUUAAUUAGGAACGGCCAUUAAUCUAACUUUAAUUAAAAGUUAAUACAAAUACUGUCCGCACUUGUCAACUCUGAUAUUGGUUUUCCCCAUCACUAUAAUCAUGGCUAUAAUUUAACUGUUAGUUGUAAAUAACAAAUUCGUCACGCUAAAUCUGUUAGAAUCUGAUGCGUUGUUUUUUAGCAAAAAAAAAAAUAGGUGAUAAAUUGUUUGUCACGAAAGUUUGUUUAAAGACAAAUUCAAGCUACGCGUUUCGAUUAUAGGAUUUUUGGGAACAGAAUAAAAAGUGUGCUUUAAGCUAUUUUUCUAGUAACGUAAUGUACGUUAAAGGUUUUAGUUAAUUACGUUAUUAACACGACAAUUUGUUUUAAACUAUUAUUAUGACGAUUUAAAUGUUUUUUGUUCAUUAUAAAUUUAAAUUACAUAUAAACAACGAUCUUAUUGACUCGAGACUAUCUGCUUAAUGUUUAAUCAUUACCGGUUCAAUAUUGCACCUGUGUUUACUUACUGUUAUAUGUUAAAAUAUAAUACUUAGCUUUACGCUCGGAUGAUAGUAAAAUAGUUAUUAUUUU